CCUACGGGAGGCAGCAGUAGGGAAUCUUUCACAAUGGGCGAAAGCCUGAUGGAGCAACGCCGCGUGCAGGAUGAAGGCCUUCGGGUUGUAAACUGCUUUUAUAAGCGAGAAAUAUGAUGGUAACUUAUGAAUAAGGAUCGGCUAACUACGUGCCAGCAGCCGCGGUCAUACGUAGGAUCCGAGCAUUAUCCGGAGUGACUGGGUGUAAAGAGUUGCGUAGGUGUCAUAAUAAGUAGCUAGUGAAAGCUGGUGGCUCAACCAUUCAGACUAUUAGCUAAACUGUUAAGCUCGAGACCGUUAGGGGUAACUGGAAUUUCUAGUGUAGGAGUGAAAUCCGUAGAUAUUAGAAGGAACACCAAUAGCGUAGGCAGGUUGCUGGGACGGUUCUGACACUAAGGCACGAAAGCGUAGGGAGCAAACGGGAUUAGAUACCCCAGUAGUC
RNAcentral lists this ribosomal RNA (442 nucleotides) under uncultured bacterium. Its description in RNAcentral is "partial 16S ribosomal RNA". It matches the Rfam family "Bacterial small subunit ribosomal RNA", at positions 338 to 795 of the family's 1533-position model. The record is from RNAcentral.